UAGUCCACGCCGUAAACGAUGGAUACUAGCUGUACGGACUUCGGUCUGUGUGGCUAAGCGAAAGUGAUAAGUAUCCCACCUGGGGAGUACGUUCGCAAGAAUGAAACUCAAAGGAAUUGACGGGGGCCCGCACAAGCGGUGGAGCAUGUGGUUUAAUUCGAUGAUACGCGAGGAACCUUACCAGGGCUUAAAUGCAUACUGACAGGGGUGGAAACACCUUUUUCUUCGGACAGUUUGCAAGGUGCUGCAUGGUUGUCGUCAGCUCGUGCCGUGAGGUGUCAGGUUAAGUCCUAUAACGAGCGCAACCCCUGUUGUUAGUUGCCAGCGAGUAAUGUCGGGAACUCUAACAAGACUGCCGGUGCAAACCGUGAGGAAGGUGGGGAUGACGUCAAAUCAUCACGGGCCCUUACGUCCUGGGGCUACGACACGUGCUACAAUGGUAGGGUACAGAGAGCAGCCACACCGUGAGGUGGGAGCGAAUCUAUAAAACCUNU
RNAcentral lists this ribosomal RNA (494 nucleotides) under uncultured bacterium. RNAcentral's name for it is "bacterial SSU rRNA". It matches the Rfam family "Bacterial small subunit ribosomal RNA", at positions 791 to 1286 of the family's 1533-position model. The record is from RNAcentral.